CCUACGGGAGGCAGCAGUGAGGAAUAUUGGUCAAUGGGCGGAAGCCUGAACCAGUCAAGUCGCGUGCAGGAUGACGGCCCUACGGGUUGUAAACUGCUUUUAUACGGGAAUAACGCGUCUUACGUGUAGGCCUUUGCAUGUACCGUAUGAAUAAGGACCGGCUAAUUCCGUGCCAGCAGCCGCGGUAAUACGGAAGGUCCGGGCGUUAUCCGGAUUUAUUGGGUUUAAAGGGUGCGUAGGCCGCAUGGCAAGCGUGCUGUGAAAUGUCCGGGCUCAACCCGGGCCUUGCAGCGCGAACGGGCGGGCUUGAGGCCGCGGGAAGCAGGCGGAAUGCGUCGUGUAGCGGUGAAAUGCUUAGAUAUGACGAAGAACCCCGAGUGCGAAGGCAGCUUGCUGGAGCGGAACUGACGCUGAGGCUCGAAAGCGCGGGUAUCGAACAGGAUUAGAUACCCCAGUAGUC
This 460-nucleotide ribosomal RNA is filed under the name uncultured bacterium. RNAcentral describes it as "partial 16S ribosomal RNA". It matches the Rfam family "Bacterial small subunit ribosomal RNA", at positions 338 to 795 of the family's 1533-position model. The record is from RNAcentral.